UGUUAAUUCUCUGAUGGCUGGGUCUGCGUUUUACUCAUCUCUGAACUCCCUAAUCUGGAUCUUUCUCUAGAUCCGAACUUUGUACUGCCAUUACCUGCUCAUUUAUCCAUUUCGCACGGUUUUUGGUGCCCAUGAACCAGACACGAAUUGCCAGUUUAUUCAUUGAUUCAUUCGCUAACUGAACAAAUCUGUAAUAAGCACCUAACUUGGGCUAGCACCCGGCUAGGCUAGGGGGAUUCAAAAGAUGCAUAAUACAUGGCAGUUGCCCUCAAAGCUCACAGAGACGACUGUCCGUAACCAAGCAACUAUAGUUCAAUAUCUUGUGUGCCUUGUCAGGGACAGAUGCAGCCUAUGGGCGCCCCAAGGAGGAGCACCGAACCCCAGAGAGAUAUCUAAGCUGAGGCAUAAAGACACCCGAAAUUGCUGGGUGCAAAGGAGAGGACUGGCAGAGGGCACUGCAUGAGUCUAGGCAUGAGAAAACACCCUGCUAUUGCCUGGGAACCCUAAACCCAGAACCCCUAGUCUGCGCUGCUGGGCUGUCCAGGUGGGGUGGGGUGAGGUGGGGAAGAGGGAACAAAUGAGGGCACAUGAGGAUGAAGAAGUAGACAAGGCCUACAACUCCCCCACCCCCAACAGAGUUUGGACUUUGCUCUGAGGGCAUUAGAUAGUCUCUGACUGGCUUUUCCGAGGAGGUUGACCCUGUUUUGUGUUUUUAAAAGAUUGCUAAAACCAAAGCACAUACCAUUAAUACUAAAUGUGAGGCUGUUGUAGUUGUUGAGGGAAGGAUGGCAGGGAAAAGGUGAGGUAGGCUGGAGAAUGUUAGAGUGAGCUGUUCUUAACUUCACCGACCCAUUGAGAAUCUGAGGGCAGCAUGUUUCUUACGGGCGCAGGAGUCCCUAACCCUAGGAGGUCCAGAGCCAUUGGAAGCCACUGACGGUGUAAGCCCAAGAGGUACAGGAUGAAAUCUGAAUUUUACUGUGACCUGUGUGCCUGCCCAGUGGAGAGUGGAGUGUGUCUGUCACCACAUGCAGAUGUUGAGAAGGUUCUUGGAAACCUGGGUUUGGACGUGGCGUGGAGGUCUGGGCUAGAGAUGAAGAUGAGAAGUUGUCGAUAGACAGAUGAUAAUUGCGGCUGUGGAUGAGGAGAAGCUUACCCAGGGAGAAGAAUGUGGAGAGAGAAGAGAGAUGGCCCAGGAUGAAGUUUUGAGGUACAUCUACAGAUUAGGGCUGUGUACAAAAGGAUCUGCCUGCAAAGGCUGAUCAGGAGUGGCUGGACAGCUUGGAGAAAGCCCAGGAGAGUGGGCUUAUGGAAGGAGGCCAAGGGAGACAUUUUAGAAAGCUGGGAAGACUUGAUGGAGGGAAUGCUCUGAGAGGUCAGAUAGGAGGAGGGUGCAGCCCUGGGCUUUGGUUUAUGGACAGGCGUGGAGAUUGUUGGGGACUUAGGGAGGGCUAUUUAUGUGUGGCAUGAUGGAGGGGGUCAGAUGGCAGUGGUCUGAUGAGUGCAGGAGGGAUGAGGGAGGCAGUGGGUCUUUCGAGAAGUUUUUGUAUAAAAAGGACGAGAAAGAUAAAGUGCUAGGGCCAAUAUGUAUGUUAGGGGAGGUGUGUUUCAAGGUAGAAGAAACCUGAGAUUUGUUUAAAAGUGAAUGGCAGAUCCAGGAGAGAGAGGUUAACCAAGAGUGUAAGAAAUAGGGGAGAUAAUCAGCGAGUAAAGUUCUCUCAAGCAUGUGCGAGGGGCUGGGAUCAGGCAUGUGGGUUGGGGGGGUUCGUCUUGGGGAGGAGGAGGGAUGAGUUCUCUAGAACCCAAAAGCAGGAACAAAGAGAGGAUGGGUGCAGAUGUAGAUGUAGGUUUAUAGUGGGAUGUUAAGGGAGAUUUCAUUUUGAGCUUCUAUUUUUUCUGCAAAGUGGGAGGCAAGGUCUUCUGCUGAGAGUGAAGAAGAGGUGGUGAGGAGUUUGAAAGAAUGAUCAUUCAGAGUGUUGAGAAGCAACUUGCCCACAAAAUCCCCAAUUGCCUGACAGCCUUGGCUCCCCAGUUGAGGUUGGUGGUCCUUAGUGUAUGUGUGUCUCGUCCUGUCCUGCUGAGUGAAUUCCUCCAUCAGGGCUCACCUACCCAGCUGCAGGCUGGGGAGAUGUAUGUACAUAGUGGGAUUUAUCCAGGCCUAGGGCUUUGCCAGAUGGGUGGGGAAAAAAGGGCACAGGAGUCUAAAGUAUUGGCAAAGAGAUGCUAAAAUUCUGGGUCCUGGGAUCUACACUGGGUAGCGAGGGAAGCAAGGCAGAUGGAUGUUUGCAGGGAGAGAGUGGAAUCCUUCACGGGCCAGGCCUUAUGAGGGACCCCUGAGAUCAGAGAGGGCUGGGAGCUGGAACUGGUGGUGACACCCAGGUUUCUGCUUGGGUGGCUGGAUGGGUGAUGAAUGUACAUGAUGAGCAUACAAACCAUUGUAAGAUCUAAGAUUUUUUUCCACCAACACCUCCAGGAACCAGUUUUCAUUUCCUCGAGGGCAUCAAGGCCCCAUUUGAGAAUGCAUGCCUUAGUAGAAUGUAAACUCCCUGAAGGCAGACUUACCUUUGCCUUGUUGGUUGCAUUAUUUCCAACAUUUUGCACAGUGCCUGCAUACAGCAGGCACUUAAUAAGUAUUGGCAAGUGCAGGAAUGGUUACAGACCUCUCCUGAAGAAGAAGGGAGGGCAGGGCAGGCAAGGUGCUCACUGAGUUUAGGCCUGGAGGCAGGAAUGUGGAAGGCUUUGGAAGGCAGUGGGGAAGGAACUGGAUUGUGCAUCCUUGGCUGACCCUGGAAGAAAUGCAGAACUGGAAUUAAAUUAAAGAACGAAAACAAAACCACACCAGGAUUGUCUAAUACCUUCUGUCUGGCAACAGGUUGUUUUUGUUUUGCUCCUAAUAAAAUUCAUUGUCGGCA
Molecule: long non-coding RNA, 2909 nt
Organism: Homo sapiens (human)
Lineage: Eukaryota; Metazoa; Chordata; Mammalia; Primates; Hominidae
Exons: 3
Source: RefSeq, a predicted model, not a curated record